RNAcentral lists this ribosomal RNA (624 nucleotides) under Filobasidium magnum. Its description in RNAcentral is "eukaryotic LSU rRNA". The stretch from base 179 to 332 matches the Rfam family "5.8S ribosomal RNA". The record is from RNAcentral. Lineage: Eukaryota; Fungi; Basidiomycota; Tremellomycetes; Filobasidiales; Filobasidiaceae.
UAACAAGGUUUCCGUAGGUGAACCUGCGGAAGGAUCAUUAAUGAAUUUAGAUUGAACCAUAGGCGAAAGCCAGUGGUUCUUCUUUCAUAUCCAUAACACCUGUGCACUGUUGGAUGCUUGCAUCCACUUUUAAACUAAACAUUAUUGUAACAAAUGUAGUCUUAUUAUAACAUAAUAAAACUUUCAACAACGGAUCUCUUGGCUCUCGCAUCGAUGAAGAACGCAGCGAAAUGCGAUAAGUAAUGUGAAUUGCAGAAUUCAGUGAAUCAUCGAAUCUUUGAACGCACCUUGCGCUCCUUGGUAUUCCGAGGAGCAUGCCUGUUUGAGUGUCAUGAAACCCUCAAACCCAAGUUUUGGAUUUCGAUCCAUGCUUGAGUUUGGAUUUGGAUGUUUGCCGGUGAUGAACCGACUCAUCUUAAAAGUAUUAGCUUGGAUCUGUCUAUAUGACUGGUUUGACUUGGCAUAAUAAGUAUUUUGCUGAGGACAUCUUCGGAUGGCCAGGACCUAGACUACUGUCUGCUAACUAAACCAUCACUUUAAGUGCAUCUUUGGAUGUUACUCAUUGUGUAACUUUGACAUCUGGCCUCAAAUCAAGUAGGACUACCCGCUGAACUUAAGCAUAUC